GACGAACGCUGGCGGCGUGCCUAAUACAUGCAAGUCGAGCGCAGGAAAUCGACGGAACCCUUCGGGGGGAAGUCGACGGAAUGAGCGGCGGACGGGUGAGUAACACGUAAAGAACCUGCCCUCAGGUCUGGGAUAACCACGAGAAAUCGGGGCUAAUACCGGAUGGGUCAUCGGACCGCAUGGUCCGAGGAUGAAAGGCGCUUCGGCGUCGCCUGGGGAUGGCUUUGCGGUGCAUUAGCUAGUUGGUGGGGUAAUGGCCCACCAAGGCGACGAUGCAUGGCGGACCUGAGAGGGUGAUCGGCCACACUGGGACUGAGACACGGCCCAGACUCCUACGGGAGGCAGCAGUAGGGAAUCUUCCACAAUGGACGAAAGUCUGAUGGAGCAACGCCGCGUGAACGAUGAAGGCCUUCGGGUCGUAAAGUUCUGUUGUAAGGGAAGAACAAGUGCCGCAGGCAAUGGCGGCACCUUGACGGUACCUUGCGAGAAAGCCACGGCUAACUACGUGCCAGCAGCAGCCGCGG
RNAcentral lists this ribosomal RNA (524 nucleotides) under uncultured bacterium. RNAcentral describes it as "partial 16S ribosomal RNA". It matches the Rfam family "Bacterial small subunit ribosomal RNA", at positions 28 to 523 of the family's 1533-position model. The record is from RNAcentral.